CUGCCCUGCCGGAAGCUGGGCCCGCGGUUUGUGGGGCCGUUCAAAGUCCUGAGGAGAGUGAACGAGGUAACCUACAAGUUACAACUUCCCCCUGAUUACAGGAUUAAUGCCUCGUUCCAUGUGUCUCUCCUCAGGCCGGUGGUGGCUGGUCCCCUCCAGCAGUCUGAGGUGCGGGAGGUCCCUCCGCCCCCUCUGGACAUUGAGGGGGGCCCGGCGCGCCGGGGGGGGGGGCCUGCAGUACCUGGUGGAGUGGGAGGGGUACGGCCCGGAGGAGCGUUGCUGGGUGCCGGCGGUGGAUGUUCUUGAUCCGGAGCUCCUCGCCGACUUCCAUCGUCGGCGCCCUGAUCGUCCUGCGCGGCGUCUUCCGGGUCGGCCCCGGGG
Molecule: long non-coding RNA, 381 nt
Organism: Esox lucius (northern pike)
Lineage: Eukaryota; Metazoa; Chordata; Actinopteri; Esociformes; Esocidae
Source: Ensembl